RNAcentral lists this ribosomal RNA (1378 nucleotides) under Salmonella enterica subsp. enterica serovar Typhimurium str. DT104. RNAcentral describes it as "bacterial LSU rRNA". It matches the Rfam family "Bacterial large subunit ribosomal RNA", at positions 1569 to 2925 of the family's 2925-position model. Lineage: Bacteria; Pseudomonadati; Pseudomonadota; Gammaproteobacteria; Enterobacterales; Enterobacteriaceae. The record is from RNAcentral.
ACGAGGCACUACGGUGCUGAAGCAACAAAUGCCCUGCUUCCAGGAAAAGCCUCUAAGCAUCAGGUAACACGAAAUCGUACCCCAAACCGACACAGGUGGUCAGGUAGAGAAUACCAAGGCGCUUGAGAGAACUCGGGUGAAGGAACUAGGCAAAAUGGUGCCGUAACUUCGGGAGAAGGCACGCUGACACGUAGGUGAAGUGAUUUACUCAUGGAGCUGAAGUCAGUCGAAGAUACCAGCUGGCUGCAACUGUUUAUUAAAAACACAGCACUGUGCAAACACGAAAGUGGACGUAUACGGUGUGACGCCUGCCCGGUGCCGGAAGGUUAAUUGAUGGGGUCAGCGCAAGCGAAGCUCCUGAUCGAAGCCCCGGUAAACGGCGGCCGUAACUAUAACGGUCCUAAGGUAGCGAAAUUCCUUGUCGGGUAAGUUCCGACCUGCACGAAUGGCGUAAUGAUGGCCAGGCUGUCUCCACCCGAGACUCAGUGAAAUUGAACUCGCUGUGAAGAUGCAGUGUACCCGCGGCAAGACGGAAAGACCCCGUGAACCUUUACUAUAGCUUGACACUGAACAUUGAGCCUUGAUGUGUAGGAUAGGUGGGAGGCUUUGAAGUGUGGACGCCAGUCUGCAUGGAGCCGACCUUGAAAUACCACCCUUUAAUGUUUGAUGUUCUAACGUGGACCCGUAAUCCGGGUUGCGGACAGUGUCUGGUGGGUAGUUUGACUGGGGCGGUCUCCUCCUAAAGAGUAACGGAGGAGCACGAAGGUUGGCUAAUCCUGGUCGGACAUCAGGAGGUUAGUGCAAUGGCAUAAGCCAGCUUGACUGCGAGCGUGACGGCGCGAGCAGGUGCGAAAGCAGGUCAUAGUGAUCCGGUGGUUCUGAAUGGAAGGGCCAUCGCUCAACGGAUAAAAGGUACUCCGGGGAUAACAGGCUGAUACCGCCCAAGAGUUCAUAUCGACGGCGGUGUUUGGCACCUCGAUGUCGGCUCAUCACAUCCUGGGGCUGAAGUAGGUCCCAAGGGUAUGGCUGUUCGCCAUUUAAAGUGGUACGCGAGCUGGGUUUAGAACGUCGUGAGACAGUUCGGUCCCUAUCUGCCGUGGGCGCUGGAGAACUGAGGGGGGCUGCUCCUAGUACGAGAGGACCGGAGUGGACGCAUCACUGGUGUUCGGGUUGUCAUGCCAAUGGCACUGCCCGGUAGCUAAAUGCGGAAGAGAUAAGUGCUGAAAGCAUCUAAGCACGAAACUUGCCCCGAGAUGAGUUCUCCCUGAGACUUAGAGUCUCCUGAAGGAACGUUGAAGACGACGACGUUGAUAGGCCGGGUGUGUAAGCGCAGCGAUGCGUUGAGCUAACCGGUACUAAUGAACCGUGAGGCUUAACC